AUGCAGAAGUCUGACCAUCACGAGCAGAAUCUUACUUCACCAAGGGGACUGAUCCAUAAAGUGCUUCGUCGUACAAAUAGCAGGCGAUCUCCAACUGCAGCAGAGCAAGAUCCUUCUCCUGUAUUUCCAGAAACAAGCAAUACUAAGUUCUUAAAGCAAAAAAAUGUAGAAGAUGCAAGCAAAGAUCCAGAAAAGGGGAGCACUCACGAUAACCGAAUUGAAGAUGAGAAGUCUGAUUUGCUAGGAUACGAAGUUUGUUCUGGGAAGCUUACGUUAGAUAACAAAGGCAGAAGCGUUUCAGGUGAACAGUCGGGAUCAGGGUCUAGUGGUAAUUGUUUUGAUGCUAGGCUCACCACUGAAGCCUUAGUAUGGGGCUCUAACAUCCUUAAGCUCGAGGACAUUGUAUCUGUAUCAUACAAUGCUGGGCUUCGGCAUUUCAUCGUGCAUGCAUGCCCUCUUGAAAAGAGAUCUAAUGGACUUUCCUGCUUUAUGAAGCCUAGAAGAAUCCAGAAGGACUUGCGUUUCCUAUCUACUGCUCCACAUGAGGCCUUUCGGUGGGUUAAUGGUUUUGCAGAUCAGCAAUGCUAUGUAAAUCUGUUACCACACCCCAUGGCAUCAAGCAAAAAGCAUUCUUCUGAACUCAUUCCAUUUGAUGCCAUGCUUGAUCCAUAUGUUAAAUGUCGGUCUCCACCAAAGAUACUUGUCAUCCUGAAUCCUCGAUCUGGACAUGGUAGAUCUAGCAAAGUUUUCCACGGGAAAGUGGAGCCCAUAUUUAAGAGACAGCUUGCAGGUUUCAAGAUGGAAGUGAUUAAAACUACACAUGCUGGUCAUGCAAAAUCUCUUGUAUCAACUAUUGAUUUUAGUACCUGUCCAGAUGGAAUUGUAUGUGUCGGUGGCGAUGGAAUUGUUAAUGAGGUACUCAAUGGUCUUCUGUGCAGAGAUGAUCAAAUUGAGGCAGGCUCUCUUCCAAUUGGUAUAAUACCUGCAGGAUCUGAUAACUCACUUGUUUGGACAGUCUUGGGUGUUAAAGAUCCAAUUUCUGCAGCAUUGUCCAUUGUCAGGGGAGGUUUUACACCUAUUGAUGUUUUUUCUGUUGAAUGGAUUCAGAGUGGGACUACGCAUUUUGGCACAACAGUCUCGUAUUUUGGCUUUGUUAGUGAUGUUCUUGAGCUCUCAGAGAAAUACCAGAAGCGUUUUGGUCCUCUCCGUUACAUUGUUGCUGGUUUUCUGAAAUUCCUGUGCUUGCCAAAGUACAGUUUUGAAUUGGAGUAUCUUCCAGCAGCAGAUGUUGAUGGUGCUGGGCAUAAAAUUGUGGAGGGACAAGAAAAGGUUGAUACGUCAGACCUCUAUGACGAUGUAGUUCAGAGGUCGAGAGCAGAAUGUUUACCACGCGCCUCAAGUUUGUCUAGCAUUGAUUCAAUCAUGUCUACGAGCAUAAUGUCUGGGGGAGAACCAGAAGUUUCUAGUCCACGUGCUAAUAAUGAACCAUCUGAACUUGUGCGUGCACUUGAUCCGAAAUCAAAACGCCAGUCAUUAGGGAGGACAAGUACUUUCAAAGAACCAGAAGAAUCGCUCCAUCCUCAGGCAUCAACUCCCAGCUGGCGUAGAUCCAAAUCAAAGUCAAGGACAGAAAAAGCGUGGCCAGGUUUGACUGCUACAAAUGACACUAAAUCUUCUAAGGGCACCACAACACAUGAUAAAGAAGACACAUCAUCCACAAUUUCAGAUCCUGGACCUGCGUGGGAUACAGGACCCAAGUGGGAUAUGGAGCCUAAAUGGGAUAAUCAACCUAAUUGGGAACCUGAAACUCCUAUCGAGCUACAUGGUCCAUCAGAUGACAUUGAGCUUGGUCUGACUAAGGAACUAGUCCCAAGCUUAGAUGAAAGAUGGGUCAUUAGGAAAGGGCGCUAUCUCGGUGUAUUGGUAUGCAACCAUUCAUGCAAGACCGUGCAGAGUUUAAGUUCCCAGAUUGUUGCUCCCAAGGCUGAAUAUGACGACAACUGUCUGGACCUGCUGCUGGUUGGUGGAAGUGGGAGGCUAAGGUUAUUAAGGUUUUUGGUGCUUUUGCAGUUUGGAAAACACAUUUCUCUUCCGAAUGUGGAAUAUGUAAAGGUACGAUCCGUGAGACUUAAGGCAGGCCCGAAUACACAUGAUGGGUGUGGUAUUGAUGGGGAGCUACUCCAUGUCAAGGGGCAGGUCCGGUGCAGUUUGCUACCUCAGCAAAGUCGUUUGAUCGGCAGGCCAGCCAAAAACACUGUACAGUAA
Molecule: ribosomal RNA, 2265 nt
Filed under: Triticum aestivum (bread wheat)
Lineage: Eukaryota; Viridiplantae; Streptophyta; Magnoliopsida; Poales; Poaceae
Description: partial small subunit ribosomal RNA
Source: RNAcentral